UGAGAAGGUUGAGGCGUUGGAGCUUCGUCUGCAGUCUCUGAAGCUGGAGAAGGUGUGUGAGUGAGGUAGACCCCCUCCACUGCGCUGCAUGGAUCCCGUACGGAACAGUCGAGGCUGCGGUGGAGGCAGCUGGUCGUAGCCCUCGUCUUCCUCAUCAUCCUCCUCCAAGUCCACCUCGCUGCGUCUCAGAGAGUUCAAGGAGAAGCUGGAGCAGCGACGACUGGCCGUGGCCGAGGUGGACGCGUAGUCCUGACGCAGACCUAUGUAGCAGUUUGUAGCCCAUGGAAAUGGAGUCGUCCUCCAGCUCGGAGAUGCCCGCCUCGCUGUCUACGGAAGACUGGGGGCUGAUGGCCGCACGUUGCCGACCCACAUCUAAAACACAAACAUACAAGGGCAGAGUUUGACAGGAAGGUGGGGGCUCUGUCAUUGAGGCUGCAGCUGGUCCUGAGAGGGAGGGUGGACUGGACUAAAGGAGGCCCGGGUGAUGAGGAUGGAGAUGCUGCUAUCGGCGCUGAUGACAGAGCUUGGAUGUAGGGAGAGGAUGGAAAAAAAGCAGGCUUUAAUUCCGAUGGAAUAACAUGCAAAUCCAUUACUGGCAUGGAACCAGGAGUUCACAACAUUCAGAGAUAGAUACCUGGAAAUAACUCAUUGAUUCAUUGGUCAUUACAUUUCCCUUCUGUCAAUCAAGAAAAGUUGCCAAAUGCCCAUAAAAAACAUAUCCAGGCUUCCUUUAGCGUAGCAUAAAUUAGCUUAGCAGAUUUUAAAAUUUAAAAAGUUAUUUUUUGUUUUUCUCAAGCUGCUGUACCUAUCUUGGAGUCAUUGUGUGUCCAAUGUUUGAUGCUAAAAUCUAUUUUGCCUUUUAACAUAACUAAGGUUAGCUUAACAAGUUUAAAAAAAACAAAUUUUCUUCAUUUUUCCAAAGCUGCUGUGCCUUCUGCCUUGGCUUGUUGUAAUUCACUAAACUAAACUAAACU
Non-coding RNA from Doryrhamphus excisus (bluestripe pipefish), 974 nucleotides. Lineage: Eukaryota; Metazoa; Chordata; Actinopteri; Syngnathiformes; Syngnathidae. The record is from RefSeq and is a predicted model, not a curated record.